RNAcentral lists this ribosomal RNA (775 nucleotides) under uncultured Neocallimastigales. Its description in RNAcentral is "partial large subunit ribosomal RNA". It matches the Rfam family "Eukaryotic large subunit ribosomal RNA", at positions 24 to 649 of the family's 3401-position model. The record is from RNAcentral. Lineage: Eukaryota; Fungi; Neocallimastigomycota; Neocallimastigomycetes; Neocallimastigales.
UAUGUGAUCGUCUCUCGCAUAUCAAUAAGCGGAGGAAAAGAAACUAACAAGGAUUCCCCUAGUAACGGCGAGUGAAGCGGGAAGAGCUCAAAUUUGAAAUCUUAAAGGGUUUCCCUUUACGAAUUGUAGUUUAAAGAAGUGUUUUCUGUUGAGGUUUUGGUAAAAGUUCUUUGGAAUAGGACAUCAUAGAGGGUGAGAAUCCCGUAUUUGACCUUUACUUUCAACUUUGUGAUACACUUUCAAAGAGUCGGAUUGUUUGGGAAUGCAGUCCAAAAUGGGUGGUAAAUUUCAUCUAAAGCUAAAUAUUGGCGAGAGACCGAUAGCGAACAAGUACCGUGAGGGAAAGAUGAAAAGAACUUUGAAAAGAGAGUUAAACAGUACGUGAAAUUGUCAAAAGGGAAGCGUUUGACACCAGUGUUGUUUUUCUGAAAAUCAAUUAAAGAACUGUUUAUGCUAAGCUGUUUAGACUUUAUCAGCUAUCUGCUUUAGUUUUGAGCUUUUCUUUAAUGCACUUUUCAGUUAACAAGUCAACAUCAAUUUCUUUUGCUGUAAAAAAGCUUGAGGAAGGUGGCUUGAGAUUCGUCUUAAGUGUUUAUAGCCUCUUGCCUAUGCAGUCGGAGAGAUUGAGGUCUGCAGCGUAGAUCCUUCGGGGCUAAAUGCAUUUGUGCUAAGUUAUAGCAUUUUAUAGACAACUUGUUGACUAUGAUUUGUCUUGUAGCUUACUCGCUUAUGUUAUUUUACCUACGCUUAGGAUGUUGAGUAGCGACAUACGCAC